GAUGAACGCUGGCGGCGUGCCUAACACAUGCAAGUCGAACGGAGUCGUUUUGGAAAUCUCUUCGGAGAUGGAAUUCUCGACUUAGUGGCGGACGGGUGAGUAACGCGUGAGCAAUCUGCCUUUAAGAGGGGGAUAACAGUCGGAAACGGCUGCUAAUACCGCAUAAAGCAUUAAAUUCGCAUGUUUUUGAUGCCAAAGGAGCAAUCCGCUUUUAGAUGAGCUCGCGUCUGAUUAGCUAGUUGGCGGGGUAACGGCCCACCAAGGCGACGAUCAGUAGCCGGACGGAGAGGUUGAACGGCCACAUUGGGACUGAGACACGGCCCAGACUCCUACGGGAGGCAGCAGUGGGGAAUAUUGCGCAAUGGGGGAAACCCUGACGCAGCAACGCCGCGUGAUUGAAGAAGGCCUUCGGGUUGUAAAGAUCUUUAAUCAGGGACGAAACAAAUGACGGUACCUGAAGAAUAAGCUCCGGCUAACUACGUG
This 483-nucleotide ribosomal RNA is filed under the name uncultured bacterium. RNAcentral describes it as "partial 16S ribosomal RNA". It matches the Rfam family "Bacterial small subunit ribosomal RNA", at positions 28 to 507 of the family's 1533-position model. The record is from RNAcentral.